GACGAACGCUGGCGGCGUGCUUAACACAUGCAAGUCGAACGGAAAGGCCUCUUUCGGGGGGUACUCGAGUGGCGAACGGGUGAGUAACACGUGAGUAACCUGCCCUUGACUUUGGGAUAACUUCAGGAAACUGGGGCUAAUACCGGAUAGGAGCUCCUGCUGCAUGGUGGGGGUUGGAAAGUUUCCGCGGUUGGGGAUGGGCUCGCGGCGUAUCAGCUUGUUGGUGGGGUAGUGGCGUAACAAGGCGUUGACGGGUAGCCGGCCUGAGAGGGUGACCGGCCACCUUGGGACUGGGAUACGGCCCAGACUCCUACGGGGGGCAGCAGUGGGGAAUAUUGCACAAUGGGUGGGAGCCUGAUGCAGCAACGCCGUGUGCGGGAUGACGGCCUUCGGGUUGUAAACCGCUUUCGCUCAUGACGAAGCUUUGUGUGACGGUAGUGGGUAAAGAAGCACCGGCUAACUACGUG
This 467-nucleotide ribosomal RNA is filed under the name uncultured bacterium. RNAcentral describes it as "partial 16S ribosomal RNA". It matches the Rfam family "Bacterial small subunit ribosomal RNA", at positions 28 to 507 of the family's 1533-position model. The record is from RNAcentral.